CGCGCACCUGUGCGCCAGGUUCUGCUGGAGAGAGCGGAGCUGAGUGCGUUUGUUCCGCGUCUUUUACGAUUAUUUUCUGUUUUUCCUUUAUUUGAAUAUAGAUAAAAUUUAACUCAUGUAAUUAUGUAGUCUAAACCUCGCAGGAAAAAGUGAUAAAAAUCUAUCUUGCAACGAAUACUUGUUAGUUUUAAUGGUCUUUAAAUUCUGUAUUUGUUUGUCUUCGGGCAGGACAUGUUUGGCUCAGCUGCUGCAAUUAUCCAAUUCGGUGUCUGCGGGCAGGACAUACUUGGCUCAGCUGGUGGAAUUAUCGAUGAAUUGCAACGAAGUUCCAGUCUUCAUUCCGGUCGCUGCCUCGACAGAAGCCUCGGUGAAACAGUAACGUGCUGUAUGUUUCUGUUUUAACAUGUAGUUGCUUGCAAAUGUUUUCUUACUCUGUUGACUUGUAACAGUAUUUGGCGUUAAUGUUUGUCGUGCUUUUACACUUUGUAAUUGAAAUCCGUGUUAAUUUUCACUUCGAAGCUUGUGCAUCCGACGUAUUGUAAUGCUUUGUUUUGUGUGCCAUAUUCGUUCAAUAAAUUGUUGAUUGAAACUUGAUUUUGUUCCUUCAUUUCUUGUGCAGAGUUCUGUUCCCCCCUUGGCCCUGAAAAACCCCGAUGGUGGUGAGUUUUUUGGCGGAGAGAUUUUGCUAAUAGUUUGUGGCCGCAAGGGGACACCCUAUCGCUUUUUGACUUGAAAAGGUCAAAGGCUACCCCCUUUUUAAGCGUGUCCAGAUUUUCCCGCCAAAAAACUUAGUAUCUGGGGUUU
This 804-nucleotide long non-coding RNA is filed under the name Lepisosteus oculatus (spotted gar). RNAcentral's name for it is "lncRNA (ENSLOCG00000021182.1)". The record is from RNAcentral. Lineage: Eukaryota; Metazoa; Chordata; Actinopteri; Semionotiformes; Lepisosteidae.